GGUUCAUUCAAAUUUCUGCCCUAUCAACUUUCGACUUUAGUGUAGUGGACUAAAGUGGUUACAACGGGUAACGGAGGGUUAGGGCUCGACCCCGGAGAAGGAGCCUGAGAAACGGCUACUACAUCCAAGGAAGGCAGCAGGCGCGCAAAUUACCCAAUCCCGACCGGGGAGGUAGUGACGAUAAAUACCGAUACAGGGCUCUUUUGGGUCCUGUAAUUGGAAUGAGUACAAUUCAAAUCCCUUAACGAGGAACAAUUGGAGGGCAAGUCUGGUGCUAGCAGCCGCGGUAAUUCCAGCUCCAAUAGCGUAUAUUAAAGUUGUUGUGGUUAAAAAGCUCGUAUAA
RNAcentral lists this ribosomal RNA (343 nucleotides) under uncultured fungus. RNAcentral describes it as "SSU rRNA". It matches the Rfam family "Eukaryotic small subunit ribosomal RNA", at positions 292 to 635 of the family's 1831-position model. The record is from RNAcentral. Lineage: Eukaryota; Fungi.